This 214-nucleotide non-coding RNA is filed under the name Acetivibrio saccincola. Its description in RNAcentral is "6S / SsrS RNA". It matches the Rfam family "6S / SsrS RNA". Rfam says of the family: E. coli 6S RNA was the first non coding RNA to be sequenced, but its function was unknown until recently. It consists of 184 nucleotides that fold into an extended hairpin structure with a large single-stranded internal bulge. The 6S RNA specifically associates with RNA polymerase holoenzyme containing the sigma70 specificity factor. RNAcentral also lists the same sequence under 1 other name. Lineage: Bacteria; Bacillati; Bacillota; Clostridia; Acetivibrionales; Acetivibrionaceae. The record is from Rfam by way of RNAcentral.
UUUUGCCUGAAAUGUACGAAGUAAACUAUAAUUUUGAACCUACAUUUGACAUAAGGGAGUCCGGAGUUUAAAAACGUAUGCCAGGCCUUAAGCUAAAGCCGGAUUAUGCUUUAAAGCAUAGGUCACGGCAAGGGAAGGCAGAAAUUUUUAACAGGACACCCACCUAGUUGCGGCUAGGUGUCAAAAUAUAGUGAAACGGCAUUUUGGGUUACAU